RNAcentral lists this ribosomal RNA (629 nucleotides) under uncultured bacterium. Its description in RNAcentral is "bacterial SSU rRNA". It matches the Rfam family "Bacterial small subunit ribosomal RNA", at positions 877 to 1505 of the family's 1533-position model. The record is from RNAcentral.
GGAGUACGGUCGCAAGAUUAAAACUCAAAUGAAUUGACGGGGGCCCGCACAAGCGGUGGAGCAUGUGGUUUAAUUCGAUGCAACGCGAAGAACCUUACCUACUCUUGACAUCCAGAGAACUUUCCAGAGAUGGAUUGGUGCCUUCGGGAACUCUGAGACAGGUGCUGCAUGGCUGUCGUCAGCUCGUGUUGUGAAAUGUUGGGUUAAGUCCCGCAACGAGCGCAACCCUUAUCCUUGUUUGCCAGCGAGUAAUGUCGGGAACUCCAGGGAGACUGCCGGUGAUAAACCGGAGGAAGGUGGGGACGACGUCAAGUCAUCAUGGCCCUUACGAGUAGGGCUACACACGUGCUACAAUGGCGCAUACAGAGGGCAGCAAGCUAGCGAUAGUGAGCGAAUCCCAAAAAGUGCGUCGUAGUCCGGAUUGGAGUCUGCAACUCGACUCCAUGAAGUCGGAAUCGCUAGUAAUCGUGGAUCAGAAUGCCACGGUGAAUACGUUCCCGGGCCUUGUACACACCGCCCGUCACACCAUGGGAGUGGGCUGCAAAAGAAGUAGGUAGUUUAACCUUCGGGAGGACGCUUACCACUUUGUGGUUCAUGAAUGGGGUGAAGUCGUAACAAGGUAGCCGUAA